AGCUCAAAUUUGAAAUCUGGCGUAAGCCCGAGUUGUAAUUUGUAGAGGAUGCUUCUGGGUAGCGGCCGGUCUAAGUUCCUUGGAACAGGACGUCAUAGAGGGUGAGAAUCCCGUAUGUGACUGGCUUGCACCCUCCACGUAGCUCCUUCGACGAGUCGAGUUGUUUGGGAAUGCAGCUCUAAAUGGGAGGUAAAUUUCUUCUAAAGCUAAAUACCGGCCAGAGACCGAUAGCGCACAAGUAGAGUGAUCGAAAGAUGAAAAGCACUUUGGAAAGAGAGUUAAAAAGCACGUGAAAUUGUUGAAAGGGAAGCGCCCGCAACCAGACUUUGCGGCGGUGUUCGGCUGGUCUUCUGACCGGUUUACUCGCCGCCGUGAGGCCAUCAUCGUCUGGGACCGCUGGAUAAGACCUGAGGAAUGUAGCUCCCUUCGGGGUGUGUUAUAGCCUCUGGUGAUGCAGCGCGUCUCGGGCGAGGUCCGCGCUUCGGCAAGGAUGAUGGCGUAAUGGUUGUCGGCGGCCCGUCUUGAAACACGGACCAAGGAGUCUAACAUCUAUGCGAGUGUUCGGGUGUCAAACCCCUACGCGUAAUGAAAGUGAACGGAGGUGGGAACUUUUUGUGCACCAUCGACCGAUCCUGAUGUCCUCGGAUGGAUUUGAGUAAGAGCAUAGCUGUUGGGACCCGAAAGAUGGUGAACUAUGCCUGAAUAGGGUGAAGCCAGAGGAAACUCUGGUGGAGGCUCGCAGCGGUUCUGACGUGC
RNAcentral lists this ribosomal RNA (756 nucleotides) under Pseudocercospora solani-pseudocapsicicola. RNAcentral describes it as "eukaryotic LSU rRNA". It matches the Rfam family "Eukaryotic large subunit ribosomal RNA", at positions 106 to 894 of the family's 3401-position model. Lineage: Eukaryota; Fungi; Ascomycota; Dothideomycetes; Mycosphaerellales; Mycosphaerellaceae. The record is from RNAcentral.